Molecule: long non-coding RNA, 530 nt
Filed under: Homo sapiens (human)
Lineage: Eukaryota; Metazoa; Chordata; Mammalia; Primates; Hominidae
Description: long intergenic non-protein coding RNA 334
Source: RNAcentral
GUCCUAGUCCCCGCCACACACAGGUCGUGGGUUCUCCUUUGAGAGUGACCACUGGUUCCUAGAGCUUUUCCUAAACUGGAGACGGAUCCUGCCCUGGGGGUCUCAGUCACCGCGAGGACUCGAGGGUAACUGCCAGAGGUCCCAGGUGGCCCGAGGGCUAUUUUAAAAUAUUUUCUGUUUCCUUGAUUUCUCCUCCUUUGGAUGUAUUGGGCUUCCUGACUCUUUGAAGAAUCUAUCCAGUGUCUUUAAGAUAGCAAAACUAAGUGUCAAAAGCACCUUCUGCACACAGUCUGCACACACUGGCCGGUGGUCCUGUUCCCGCAAGGUUGAGCUGUGUUCCAGAGACAUGGGUCCUCCGGGUGAUGAGGAGCCGCUGGAGGGCCCUGAGCUGCACGUGCUAAUGAUUAACGCCCCGUCCGUGCUGGCCGGUUUCUCAAAUGCCUCCUGACGAUUGCGCACAGCCGGACAUCAUUUGUACUGAGAGACAAAAGGAAAUCACUGAGGCUUUCUGAGGUGAGCUGGGCGGCCGC